GGAAUGAGUGGCGAACGGGGGGAUAAACCCGUGGGAAAUUCCUCCCUAGGAGUUGGGGAUAACAUUCGGAAACGGAAUGCUAAUACCGCAUAUUCUUUUUGAACCCGCAUGGUUUUUAAACGAAAGACGGCUUCGGCUUCGCUCUUAGAUGAUCCCGCGGCGUAUUAGUUAGUUGGUGGGUUAAAGGCCUACCAAGACCAUGAUACGUAGCCGACCUGAGAGGGUGAUUGGCCACACUGGGACUGAGACACGGCCCAGACUCCUACGGGAGGCAGCAGUAGGGAAUCUUCCACAAUGGGUGAAAACCUGAUGGAGCAAUGCCGCGUGAAUGAAGAAGGUCUUCGGAUCGUAAAGUUCUGUUAUUAGAGAAGAACAAGUCAAGGAGUAACUGUCUUGACUUUGACGGUACCUAACCAGAAAGUCACGGCUAACUACGUGCCAGCAGCCGCGGUAAUACGUAGGUGACAAGCGUUGUCCGGAAUUAUUGGGCGUAAAGGGAGCGCAGGCGGUUGGAAUAGUCUGAUGUGAAAGCCCACGGCUUAACCGUGGAAGGUCAUUGGAAACUGUCCAACUUGAAUACAGAAGAGGUAAGUGGAAUUCCAAGUGUAGCGGUGAAAUGCGUAGAUAUUUGGAGGAACACCAGUGGCGAAGGCGACUUACUGGUCUGUAAUUGACGCUGAGGCUCGAAAGCGUGGGUAGCAAACAGGAUUAGAUACCCUGGUAGUCCACGCCGUAAACGAUGAGUGCUAAGUGUUAGGGGGUUUCCGCCCCUUAGUGCUGGAGUUAACGCAUAAGCCACUCCG
RNAcentral lists this ribosomal RNA (803 nucleotides) under uncultured bacterium. Its description in RNAcentral is "bacterial SSU rRNA". It matches the Rfam family "Bacterial small subunit ribosomal RNA", at positions 88 to 871 of the family's 1533-position model. The record is from RNAcentral.